Molecule: long non-coding RNA, 262 nt
Filed under: Sorghum bicolor (sorghum)
Lineage: Eukaryota; Viridiplantae; Streptophyta; Magnoliopsida; Poales; Poaceae
Description: long non-coding RNA (SBIC_LNC014305)
Source: RNAcentral
UUGCUUAUGACUUUGCUCUACUUGCUUAUAUUCAAGAUUAUAUUGUUCUUAGUUUAUCAUGGUUAUGUACUUGGCUUAGUUAGAUUGGAACUAUAUACAUGCUUAGGAUCGUAUAGCGUUUAUCCAUCAGAUCCAUGGGUAAAUGAUAGAUAUUGUGUAGCCGUGGUGCUUAUACCGUAUUUAUCUGCGAUUGUACCCAAUAUGCCAGAUCGUGGGGUAGUUCGUGAUAGUGACAGCUUCAUUGAUUCUUAUAUAGUCCCCC